CAGCAGACACUGAAAGGACUCUGAUAGUUCGAGUGAAAGUAGCAGUUCCUCCUUAAGGUCAGAGAUUGCAGCAUCUGAGGGCCUCUUCAAAAGAAGACGUAGUUGAUGAAGGCGUUCUGGAGCAGGACCAGAAAGACCACGACCAAGUAGCCUUGAGAUCUUAGGCAGCAUCUCCCUGAGGUUCCUCUCUAUCUCCCCACACAUCCACCAACCACUGGAACACAUCUGCAAAGUUCUGCCGGGCCAGCUCAGCUUCCCCUCAGAAGAAGUGCCGCCACCUGCCAGAUGAAGGAGCCUUUUGGGAGGCAGCUGGCAUCGUGAUUGGACUGUACUUUGGUCUGUUCCAAUCCAGCUUCAGCUCCAGAGACGGCAGGUGGGACGAGUCAACGGAGGCCGGGUGGACGAAGGCAU
This is a long non-coding RNA of Amphiprion ocellaris (clown anemonefish), 411 nucleotides long. The record is from Ensembl. Lineage: Eukaryota; Metazoa; Chordata; Actinopteri; Pomacentridae.